RNAcentral lists this long non-coding RNA (3559 nucleotides) under Sus scrofa (pig). Its description in RNAcentral is "lncRNA (ENSSSCG00035034250.1)". The record is from RNAcentral. Lineage: Eukaryota; Metazoa; Chordata; Mammalia; Artiodactyla; Suidae.
UUUUUCUAGCUUCCUGAAAAUAGGAGUUUAGGUCACUGAUUUUCAGCCUUGCUGCUUCUUUUUUUUUUCUUUGCCACAUAGUGCAGUGGCUUGAUAUGGAAUCUCAGUUCCCAGACCUGGGAUAGAACCAGGGCCGCAGCGGUAAAAGCUCCAAAUCCCAACCACUACAUCGUCAGGGAACAUCCCACUUGCUUCUUUUUUAAUAUAUGUACUUAAUGCUAGAAAUUUCCCUACAUACAUUGCUUCAGCUGCAACAAAUUUUGGUAUCUUUGUUACUAUUCACUCAAAACAUUAAAAAAACAUUUUUUUGACCCAGAGUGUUUCAAAACGUACUACAUCAUUUCCAAGCAGUUGGGUUUUUUUUGGGGGGGGCGCGGGGGCAGGAGUUGCCUGCAGUAUGUGGAACUUCCCAGGACAGGGAUGGGAGCUGGGCCACAGCAGCAACCUGGGAUGCUGCAAUGCCAAUGCCAGAUCCUUAACCUGCUGUCUGGCCGAUCAUUCAUGUUUACAUAAAGAAACUGAAUUAUGCCUUUUUGAUCAAAUGUUCAACAUACAUAAAUUAGUUGAAGUUUAGUGACUGCAUUGUUCAGAUCAUCUGCAAUCUGAGCUUUUUCCUUUUGGUCUGAAUAUUCCGCCAGCUAUUGCAAAAUCUACGCAAAAGUUUCUAACUAUCGUUGGAGAUUUACUUAUUUCCCGUCUCAUACCAUUUUUGCUUUAUAUAGUUUACAUUCAUCCUGGGCAUAUACACAUUUAGGAUUAUGUGGUUUGCAUGGCUUCUUUCACCAUUACAAAGUGUCCUUUUUAUCUCUAGUGAUGCUUUUUGCUUUAAAUGUCUUUGCCUGAUAAAACCAGUCACGUUGUUUCCAUUUUGGUUGUUUGUCCCUAAUAUAUCUCCCUACGCACUUAUUUUCAACUUUUUUGUGAUCGUAUAGUUGUAUCUCUCGUAAGAAGUCUGUAGUGGGAUUGACUCGGCUAUAAUUUUUUCAACUUUAAUUCAAGUUGAAUCACUUAAAGUGUUUGGGUUUAUAUUUUGCAAUUUAAAAAUCUACCCAGUUUUAUGCUCCCUCUUCCAUUCUUGUCUUCUUAUACUUUACCCUCUAUCAUUAGACAUACAUUCCAUUGUUAUUUUGGUGUUUAACUUAACUCAGAGAUUAUAACAUACUUCCUUUACAAUCGACUAGCAGUAGCAGUUCUACCAAUCACCAAAUGCUAGAACCUGAGAGCACUAACUCCAUUUACUCUCCUUGUCUUUUGAUUACAUAUGAUGCAUUUUAUCUCUACAAAUACUUUAAAUCCUAGUUUUAGCUAACAUUUAUAUUUACACACACAUUUACCAUUUCCAUUGCUUUUCAUUUAUUCCUGCAUUUCUGGACUUCAUCUGGGUCAUUUUGCUUCUGCCUGAAGAAUAUCCUUCAACAUUUCUUCCAGUGUAUAGAAAUUAUUAUUUUUUCUGGUAGGUCUUUAACUCUGUUAUCAUAUUUGGAGUGUAUCUUGCCCUUGCUCCUCUUCCUCAUCUGGAAUGUGGGCACUUCAGCAGCCAUCUUUCGAUGAGGACAGAAGCCUGGACUACACUGACCUUGGAGGAGCUACUGACCUUGGACACCUGGACAGCCUGCAUAUGAAAGAAAAGUAAAUCCGAAUGGUUUAAGCACCAUUCUUAACUUUGGUUCUGUUAUAAGACAAACAUUCCUGAUACAAUGUCUUUGAUCAAUUCUGGAAGCUUCUCAGCCACUUAGCUCUUCCAAUGUAGCUGUCAAGAUAUCUUUACAUUUCAAUAGUCCAGCAUCUGUGGCACCUGUUGCUCAUGUAGUCAUCACGUAGGUCCUGCUAGCAUUCUGAUCAAGGAAGUAUGGGCCAGGAUGAUCACCUCGCGCUCUAGGGAAUUCCUAAUUCAGAGGAGAGGUUUCUAGGUACUGCCGUCUGCUUCUUGACCAUCAUAUAAUGCUUUGCUAAUUUAAUACUAAAUGUCAGCAAUUUUUAUUAGUAGACUUAGUGGUCUGUUAACUAGAACGAUGAACUUCGAAAACUGGCCCCCAAUGGUUAAAGACUUCCAUUAUAUGGAUUGGCUAAAACUGGAUUUGCACAGCCCACACUUGCCAGAACAAGUCAAAGAAUCCAGCUUGAUCUGUAGUCCUUACCCUUGAGAGGAUGUCCUAAUAUAAUCCCCUAAAAGGACCUCUGUCCAGCCAUGAACACAGGCUUCGUUAAGAGCAACUGAACUCUGCUUCUUGAAGGAAGCUUUCAGGCCAGGUGGUGGCGAGAGCAUCUCAAAGGGCAGAGAACAACCUCCUUAAGCCUGGAGAACAGGGAGUAAGACCUGUUCUCUUGCUUCGUUGUAUCUGUGUAGUGACUGAAGCUGGUGUAAAAUCAUUCUCAUUAUACCCUGGCUGUGAGGAGGUGAUCUGGGGGCAGGAGUGUGUGUGUGGGGGGUGCAGUCCGUGGGUACCACUGUUUAUACAUGAAUACAUUAGCCUAGGUGAGUUCACAACUGCCUCAUCCCCCAUUCUCUUUUCUCCUGCUUGCAAUUCCUGAAAUAUAUAUGUAGACUGGAACUUCCACAUGUUAAAUCUUUCCUUUUUUUCCAUCUCUUUUAUGCUCUAUUCUAGCUUACUCCUGUUUGUAGCUUCAAAAUUAUCAAGGGUGUCUGACGUAUACAUUAGUAACUUUUUUUCUUAGUGACAUUAGAAGAGAGGCACCAAGAGGGCAGAACUCUGUUCUGUGGCUGUACUGCCAGCACCUUAUUGUGCCCAGCAUAUGAGGGAGCUGCUCACAAGUCAUUUUUAAGCUAAGCUUGGAUACUGUGAGAGCAAGACUAUAAAUAUAAAGCACAUUUCAAUUCUUUCUCAAGGAAAUCUUCCUUUCCUCUCAUGUUCAGAAGCUGUUUGCAGCCCUGAGGCUGCUGUGCAGAGCUCGGCUUCUGCCUUCCGGAGGCUGCAAUACCCUCCAGGGUCUGUUUGCUGCAGAGGUUUCGGUCCCACCUUCCCUGAAUUUCAGGUUACGUCUCGCUGUUAAAGUCCCAGAGCGCACUGGUGAGGCUCUGAACCAAGAGGAUAAUCUGCAGGUCGGAGCCACUCUCAGCCCCUCCGCCUCCGCCUACCACUCUGUUUUCUCUUCGUUUCUGGCAGCUGGGGUUUCCUUCUCUUUUGCAGUCAGCUGUGUGUAUUUGUUAUGUUUUAUGUCAUAUUCUGAAUGUGGAGCUAUGGGCUGGUGGUGGUAGCAAGAUUUAUGUUAGUUCAGUCUUCCCCGCCACCAAGAUUCCUAGGGUGAAAUUGUGUGAGGGUAAAAAAAGAGACGAUUUUGGAGUUUUCGCUUUGGCAAAGGGGCUUAAGGAUUUGGCAUUGUCACUGCAGCGGCCCAGGUCACUGCUGUGGCACGGGAACUUUCACAUGCCAUAGGCAUGGCCAAAAAUAAACAUCUUAAGACACUGUUUUUCAGUUUUCUAUUACACUGUAGUAAAAUUCACUUAGUGUUACACUUAGAAAAGCAGAACAAAUGAAGAAAAUCCCAACUCAGGCGUUCCCAUCGUGGCUCAGCGGUUAACAAACCUGUAUCCAUGAGG